CUGACGUUAGCGGCGGACGGGUGAGUAACACGUGGGUGACCUACCUAUAAGACUGGGAUAACUCCGGGAAACCGGGGCUAAUACCGGAUAACACAUGAAACCGCAUGGUUUCAUGAUGAAAGACGGUUUUGCUGUCACUUAUAGAUGGACCCGCGGCGUAUUAGCUAGUUGGUAAGGUAACGGCUUACCAAGGCAACGAUACGUAGCCGACCUGAGAGGGUGAUCGGCCACACUGGAACUGAGACACGGUCCAGACUCCUACGGGAGGCCAGGC
RNAcentral lists this ribosomal RNA (274 nucleotides) under uncultured Staphylococcus sp. RNAcentral describes it as "partial 16S ribosomal RNA". It matches the Rfam family "Bacterial small subunit ribosomal RNA", at positions 86 to 349 of the family's 1533-position model. Lineage: Bacteria; Bacillati; Bacillota; Bacilli; Caryophanales; Staphylococcaceae. The record is from RNAcentral.